UCAAGUACAACCUGUUGGCAGAAACAGACGUGCAAUAUUUAACUCACUUUAAUUAAAAUAUAUUUUAGUGGAUUUUUUUUCCUGCGACAUAACUCAUCUUGAUGGGAACCCAUUGGAUUUUAAUGGGAAACCUAUUAGAGGAACAUAUUGUGAUCUUUAAUGAAGCCGGGCUGCUUGGAGAACCACCUACAGUAAAGCCAGAGUGCCUCUACUGACGUCUCCUCAGUUCCAGAUCCCUCCCAGAGCCCAUGGUGUGGGUGACCCUGCCCGGAGAUAGAAGAGACUGCCAUCCUAGGGCUCCUGCCCCAUUCCCAGGAGGAAGGAAUGCUCCAGAGAGGCCAAGAGGAAUCUGCACAGAGGGGCCUCGGACGUUCCUGUUCCGUCUGUAGAAUCAGAGCCGCCCUGGUGUGCUCACGCUGCCCUGGGGGUGUGCGUUCUCAGACCUGCAUGUGGAAACGGUUUCCCCAGGGUCUGAGCCUUCGUUUCUGAAGAUCCCCAUAUCCCAUAAAACUUCCAUCAAAUAAACUGAUGAUACUUUUCUCUCGUUAA
Molecule: non-coding RNA, 549 nt
Organism: Ictidomys tridecemlineatus (thirteen-lined ground squirrel)
Lineage: Eukaryota; Metazoa; Chordata; Mammalia; Rodentia; Sciuridae
Source: RefSeq, a predicted model, not a curated record